GUUAGGAAUCUUGCGCAAUGGGCGAAAGCCUGACGCAGCGACGCCUCGUGGGGGAUGAAGGCUCUCGGGUUGUAAACCCCUUUCGGCAGGAACGAAAUUGACGGUACCUGAAGAAGAAGCACCGGCCAACUACGUGCCAGCAGCCGCGGUAAUACGUAGGGUGCAAGCGUUGUCCGGAUUUAUUGGGCGUAAAGAGCUCGUAGGCGGCUUCGUAAGUCGGGUGUGAAACCUCCAGGCUUAACCUGGAGACGCCACCCGAUACUGCGAUAGCUAGAGUCUGGUAGGGGAUCACGGAAUUCCUGGUGUAGCGGUGAAAUGCGCAGAUAUCAGGAGGAACACCGAUGGCGAAGGCAGUGAUCUGGGCCAGUACUGACGCUGAGGAGCGAAAGCGUGGGGAGCAAACAGGAUUAGAAACCCUAGUAGUCC
RNAcentral lists this ribosomal RNA (426 nucleotides) under uncultured bacterium. RNAcentral's name for it is "bacterial SSU rRNA". It matches the Rfam family "Bacterial small subunit ribosomal RNA", at positions 354 to 796 of the family's 1533-position model. The record is from RNAcentral.